Pseudoliparis swirei is the source of this 549-nucleotide long non-coding RNA. RefSeq lists it as uncharacterized. The record is from RefSeq and is a predicted model, not a curated record. The transcript is spliced from 2 exons. Lineage: Eukaryota; Metazoa; Chordata; Actinopteri; Perciformes; Liparidae.
AAUGACUCAGACACCAGUCUUGUCGAGGCUAAAUCGAGAGAGGAUCACCUGAUGUCAACAUACGAGUUUUCAAGAAGAACUUCCUGAACUUUGUGUCUGUGUGAGACUCUACCAUGCUGGGUGCCCUCUUCAGUGAAGUCUGGACACAGAGACUCAUUGCUCUUAAUCAACUCUGGGCAAGUGGCUAAUCUUUUGCUUAUUCAUGGGAUAUCCUUCAUGUCCACAUCCUGUUUCUUCAAGAUCUCAACAAUGCUUUGUGAGUAUACAACACAUGUGAGUGGAUCAGUUCAACCUGUUUUUCACAGAAUGUUAGUUUCUUAAGGUUUUCAUCAACGAUGGUUUGUAUCUUGUUUUCCAAAAGGUGUUAUUAAGAUAUUUCCAUUUGUAAUUUACAAUAAUCAAAUGUUGACUGUAAAAUCUAUGCCAACCUAUUGUUAUACACUGUACCAUGUUUUGCAAAGGAAUUCUGGUGACUUUAGUUGCCAGCAACUUCCUUUGAACUUUGUAAUAAAAUACCGUAACUGUAAUAAAGUUUACAGUAUAACUGUU